RNAcentral lists this ribosomal RNA (549 nucleotides) under uncultured Dactylosporangium sp. RNAcentral's name for it is "bacterial SSU rRNA". It matches the Rfam family "Bacterial small subunit ribosomal RNA", at positions 575 to 1124 of the family's 1533-position model. The record is from RNAcentral. Lineage: Bacteria; Bacillati; Actinomycetota; Actinomycetes; Micromonosporales; Micromonosporaceae.
GCGGCUUGUUGCGUCAGCUGUGAAAGCCCAUGGCUUAACUGUGGGUUGGCAGCUGAUACGGGCAGGCUAGAGUUCGGUAGGGGAGACUGGAAUUCCUGGUGUAGCGGUGAAAUGCGCAGAUAUCAGGAGGAACACCGGUGGCGAAGGCGGGUCUCUGGGCCGAUACUGACGCUGAGGAGCGAAAGCGUGGGGAGCGAACAGGAUUAGAUACCCUGGUAGUCCACGCUGUAAACGUUGGGCGCUAGGUGUGGGGGGCCUCUCCGGUUUCCUGUGCCGUAGCUAACGCAUUAAGCGCCCCGCCUGGGGAGUACGGCCGCAAGGCUAAAACUCAAAGGAAUUGACGGGGGCCCGCACAAGCGGCGGAGCAUGCGGAUUAAUUCGAUGCGGCGCGAAGAACCUUACCUGGGUUUGACAUGGCCGUUAAAGCCGCAGAGAUGUGGUGUCCUUCGGGGGCGGUCACAGGUGGUGCAUGGCUGUCGUCAGCUCGUGUCGUGGGAUGUUGGGUUAAGUCCCGCAACGAGCGCAACCCUUGUUCGAUGUUGCCAGCGG